UUCUAUGACAACAAUACUAUAGCCAGUAUUUCCUCUUUUGAAAUUAUCUAAAGUGGAAUGUCUAAUGUGAGAGGAUUACAUAUUGAGUGCAAAUAAUCUUUACUUAGCACACCUAAUUUCUUUUAUGCUUUCUCUGUUUUAGGCACUUCAACGGUAUCAACCCCAAGAGGGGAACAAAGGCCAGCCAGGGGAAGGUGGUGUCCAAGAAGACCAGGAAGCUGGUCCAUAAAAAGGCAGCAACUGUGAAUCUCUAUGUGGCCACCCUUAUAUAAAAAAACUCCUGGACUUUGAGCGAGGCUUUAUGUAGUCCACAACACAUCUCCACACAGGAGAUGUGUUGUGGAAACAAACGAAACAAACGAAAGCCCUCAAACAACCAGAUCUUCAUGAGUUAGCAAGCAAUAGGAUAGCAUAUUGAGAACCUGUUCAGAGAUUGCGUUUUAAUGAAUUGUAUUUUACAAAAAUGUACUUAUUUUAAAAUUUGUCAUUUUAUUUUUUUGAUAGCGCAUUGACUUUAAUAAAUGCCACAUGUUGUAAGGCCA
Micropterus salmoides (largemouth bass) is the source of this 542-nucleotide long non-coding RNA. RefSeq lists it as uncharacterized. The record is from RefSeq and is a predicted model, not a curated record. The transcript has 2 exons. Lineage: Eukaryota; Metazoa; Chordata; Actinopteri; Centrarchiformes; Centrarchidae.